GGUUGGUCCCGAGUGCAGUGGUGUUACAAACAAAUCAUCACAACCAGUUUCAAGGAUUCCUUCGCUCUUCUCCACGUCCCACUGCUUUGCACUGGACCAGCCUUAA
RNAcentral lists this Y RNA (106 nucleotides) under Microcebus murinus (gray mouse lemur). RNAcentral describes it as "Y RNA (ENSMICG00000045203.1)". It matches the Rfam family "Y RNA". Rfam says of the family: Y RNAs are components of the Ro ribonucleoprotein particle (Ro RNP), in association with Ro60 and La proteins. Lineage: Eukaryota; Metazoa; Chordata; Mammalia; Primates; Cheirogaleidae. The record is from Rfam by way of RNAcentral.